Molecule: ribosomal RNA, 494 nt
Filed under: uncultured bacterium
Lineage: Bacteria
Description: partial 16S ribosomal RNA
Rfam family: Bacterial small subunit ribosomal RNA
Source: RNAcentral
GACGAACGCUGGCGGCGUGCUUAACACAUGCAAGUCGAACGGUGAAGCGCCUUCCUUUUUGGUGGGUGUGGAUGAGUGGCGAACGGGUGAGUAACACGUGAGUAACCUGCCCCCUUCUUCUGGAUAACCGCAUGAAAGUUUGGCUAAUACGGGAUAUUCUGGGUCUGUCGCAUGAUGGGUCUGGGAAAGAUAUUGUUUCGGUGGGGGCUGGGCUCGCGGCCUAUCAGCUUGUUGGUGGGGUGAUGGCCUACCAAGGCGGUGACGGGUAGCCGGCCUGGGAGGGUGGACGGUCUCACUGGGACUGAGACACGGCCCAGACUCCGACGGGAGGCAGCAGUGGGGAAUAUGGCACAGUGGGCGCAAGCCUGAUGCGGCGACGCCGCGUGAGGGAUGGAGGCCUGCGGGUUGUGAACCUCUUUCGCCAGUGAAGCGGGCCUGCCUCGUUUGUGGGUGGGUUGACGGUAGCUGGAUAAGAAGCGCCGGCUAACUACGUG